This is a long non-coding RNA of Malaclemys terrapin pileata, 912 nucleotides long. RefSeq lists it as uncharacterized. NCBI's taxonomy places the organism in Eukaryota, Metazoa, Chordata, Testudines, Emydidae. The transcript is spliced from 3 exons. The record is from RefSeq and is a predicted model, not a curated record.
CUCGGGCCAAAGGGCAUGGGUGAAGACCAGGAGGCUGGAGCCCAGGAAGGAGAGGACACAGGAGACCAGCACGAUGACCCGCUCAGAGAAAGCUUACCAUCUAACACAGACAAGACAGCAGCGUAGAGAAGGGGAAAGAAUGAAAAGUACAAUGGUGAGACCAGGAAGAAGUGCUGUGAAGAGAUGUCAACUUUACUAGUGAGCAGAAACACCCUAACCAAGAGUUAUUUCACCUGGAUGACGACGUGCUCAGCGGCAGAGAUCCAGUUGCUUUCGACCUGAACAGGGUGCAGCAGAACUAUAUGUAAGGACUGUCGCUCAGAUCAACAUCCAGCGGCUUCUAGUGCCGGGCCACGGUCCAGAAUUCUGUGUCCGAGAGGACUCUGUGGGCGUUAACCAGCAACAAAGGGCCUGUUGUUCCCUUCAUUUACCUCUUAAUGAAAAGCUACAGAUCCUUCAGCAUCUCUCUCGUCAGUCUUCUGCUCCACCGACAGCACCCGCCGUGCCAUUCUCCAACCCAGCAUGAAGCACAGGGGACCAGCUGGGCAGCAUUCCACUCGACGGCAGUCUCCUCUUGUGUCAGCGAGACGUGCUGCGGGCCCAACAAUGUGCAGCACUUCUAGGGCAGUAUACUUGCUGAUUGCUUCCUUGAUUAUUGCUCACAACAACCAGCUAAGACACUGCCAAAGAAACACUCACAGCUGGCAUCAACUGACGGGAUGUGAGCUGCGGCAGGUGGUUCUGUCUCCCUCUUUCUUUCUCUGACCUAAAAAUGGCAGGAGAGUCUGGGGGACAAAGAAACAGUCAAUAAACAGCCAUAACAGCGAGGGGAAAAAAAAAAGUGGCUCUCCGGACGGAGAUUCCAAAUAUACUUUGAUAGACACACACACGAUCUCAGAUACAGCCUCUAAA